UACCCCGAGGAAAAGAAAUCAACCGAGAUUCCCCCAGUAGCGGCGAGCGAACGGGGAGCAGCCCAGAGCCUGAAUCAGUGUGUGUGUUAGUGGAAGCGUCUGGAAAGGCGCGCGAUACAGGGUGACAGCCCCGUACACAAAAAUGCACAUGCUGUGAGCUCGAUGAGUAGGGCGGGACACGUGGUAUCCUGUCUGAAUAUGGGGGGACCAUCCUCCAAGGCUAAAUACUCCUGACUGACCGAUAGUGAACCAGUACCGUGAGGGAAAGGCGAAAAGAACCCCGGCGAGGGGAGUGAAAAAGAACCUGAAACCGUGUACGUACAAGCAGUGGGAGCACGCUUAGGCGUGUGACUGCGUACCUUUUGUAUAAUGGGUCAGCGACUUAUAUUCUGUAGCAAGGUUAACCGAAUAGGGGAGCCGAAGGGAAACCGAGUCUUAACUGGGCGUUAAGUUGCAGGGUAUAGACCCGAAACCCGGUGAUCUAGCCAUGGGCAGGUUGAAGGUUGGGUAACACUAACUGGAGGACCGAACCGACUAAUGUUGAAAAAUUAGCGGAUGACUUGUGGCUGGGGGUGAAAGGCCAAUCAAACCGGGAGAUAGCUGGUUCUCCCCGAAAGCUAUUUAGGUAGCGCCUCGUGAAUUCAUCUCCGGGGGUAGAGCACUGUUUCGGCAAGGGGGUCAUCCCGACUUACCAACCCGAUGCAAACUGCGAAUACCGGAGAAUGUUAUCACGGGAGACACACGGCGGGUGCUAACGUCCGUCGUGAAGAGGGAAACAACCCAGACCGCCAGCUAAGGUCCCAAAGUCAUGGUUAAGUGGGAAACGAUGUGGGAAGGCCCAGACAGCCAGGAUGUUGGCUUAGAAGCAGCCAUCAUUUAAAGAAAGCGUAAUAGCUCACUGGUCGAGUCGGCCUGCGCGGAAGAUGUAACGGGGCUAAACCAUGCAC
RNAcentral lists this ribosomal RNA (947 nucleotides) under Escherichia coli. Its description in RNAcentral is "partial 23S ribosomal RNA". It matches the Rfam family "Bacterial large subunit ribosomal RNA", at positions 207 to 1194 of the family's 2925-position model. Lineage: Bacteria; Pseudomonadati; Pseudomonadota; Gammaproteobacteria; Enterobacterales; Enterobacteriaceae. The record is from RNAcentral.